GAGUUUGAUCGUGGCUCAGAGCGAACGCUGGCGGCAGGCCUAACACAUGCAAGUCGAACGCCCCUUCGGGGGAGUGGCGGACGGGUGAGUAACGCGUGGGAACGUGCCCUUUGGUACGGGACAACCCAGGGAAACUUGGGCUAAUACCGUAUGUGCCCUACGGGGGAAAGAUUUAUCGCCAUUGGAGCGGCCCGCGUUGGAUUAGGUAGUUGGUGGGGUAAAGGCCCACCAAGCCUACGAUCCAUAGCUGGUCUGAGAGGAUGAUCAGCCACACUGGGACUGAGACACGGCCCAGACUCCUACGGGAGGCAGCAGUGGGGAAUCUUGCGCAAUGGGCGAAAGCCUGACGCAGCCAUGCCGCGUGAAUGAUGAAGGUCUUAGGAUUGUAAAAUUCUUUCUACCGGGAAGAUAAUGACGGUACCCGGAGAAGGAAGCCCCGGCUAACUUCGUGCCAGCAGCCGCGGUAAG
RNAcentral lists this ribosomal RNA (468 nucleotides) under uncultured Alphaproteobacteria bacterium. RNAcentral describes it as "bacterial SSU rRNA". It matches the Rfam family "Bacterial small subunit ribosomal RNA", at positions 9 to 524 of the family's 1533-position model. The record is from RNAcentral. Lineage: Bacteria; Pseudomonadati; Pseudomonadota; Alphaproteobacteria.